RNAcentral lists this small nuclear RNA (197 nucleotides) under Lupinus angustifolius (narrow-leaved blue lupine). Its description in RNAcentral is "snRNA U2". It matches the Rfam family "U2 spliceosomal RNA". Rfam says of the family: U2 is a small nuclear RNA (snRNA) component of the spliceosome (involved in pre-mRNA splicing). Complementary binding between U2 snRNA (in an area lying towards the 5' end but 3' to hairpin I) and the branchpoint sequence (BPS) of the intron results the bulging out of an unpaired adenosine, on the BPS, which initiates a nucleophilic attack at the intronic 5' splice site, thus starting the first of two transesterification reactions that mediate splicing. The record is from Rfam by way of RNAcentral. Lineage: Eukaryota; Viridiplantae; Streptophyta; Magnoliopsida; Fabales; Fabaceae.
AUACCUUUCUCGGCCUUUUGGCUAAGAUCAAGUGUAGUAUCUGUUCUUAUCAGUUUAAUAUCUGAUAUGUGGGUCAUUGGCCCACACGAUAUUAAAUUACUUUUUUAAAGGGGAGGGGCCAUGACAAUAGCUUGCUAUUGGGUCUCUCAGGUANCAGAUUAAAAGACCAAUUCUUUUUACUUACCGAAACACCAAAC